RNAcentral lists this ribosomal RNA (427 nucleotides) under uncultured bacterium. RNAcentral's name for it is "bacterial SSU rRNA". It matches the Rfam family "Bacterial small subunit ribosomal RNA", at positions 506 to 931 of the family's 1533-position model. The record is from RNAcentral.
UGCCAGCAGCCGCGGUAAUACAGAGGUGGCGAACGUUGUCCGGAUUUAUUGGGUGUAAAGGGCAUGUAGGUGGUUUUGUAAGUCAAAGGUGAAAUGGCCCGGCUUAACCAGGUCAUUGCCUUUGAAACUGCAGGACUUGAGUGCGGAAGAGGAAAGCGGAAUUCCCAGUGUAGCGGUGAAAUGCGUAGAUAUUGGGAGGAACACCGGUGGCGAAGGCGGCUUUCUGGUCCGAUACUGACACUGAGAUGCGAAAGCCAGGGGAGCAAACGGGAUUAGAUACCCCGGUAGUCCUGGCCGUAAACGAUGAGUACUAGGUGUUAGAGGUAUCCACUCCUCUAGUGCCGCAGCUAACGCAUUAAGUACUCCACCUGGGGACUACGACCGCAAGGUUGAAACUCAAAGGAAUUGACGGGGGCCCGCACAAGAA